This 493-nucleotide ribosomal RNA is filed under the name uncultured bacterium. RNAcentral describes it as "bacterial SSU rRNA". It matches the Rfam family "Bacterial small subunit ribosomal RNA", at positions 29 to 526 of the family's 1533-position model. The record is from RNAcentral.
AACGAACGCUGGCGGCAUGCCUAACACAUGCAAGUCGAACGCAGCGUCAGGGCUUGCUCUGAUGGCUGAGUGGCAAACGGGUGAGUAACACGUGGGAACUUACCCCUUAGACUGGGACAACCACUGGAAACGGUGGCUAAUACCGGAUACGCCCUACGGGGGAAAGCAGAGAUGCGCUAAGGGAGGGGCCCGCGGCAGAUUAGGUAGUUGGUGGGGUAAAGGCCUACCAAGCCGAUGAUCUGUAGCUGGUUUGAGAGGAUGAUCAGCCACACUGGGACUGAGACACGGCCCAGACUCCUACGGGAGGCAGCAGUGGGGAAUAUUGGACAAUGGGCGAAAGCCUGAUCCAGCAAUGCCGCGUGUGUGAAGAAGGCCUGAGGGUUGUAAAGCACUUUCAAUCGUGAAGAAAAGUUGCAGGCUAAUACCCUAGUGACCUUGACGUUAACGAUACAAGAAGCACCGGCUAACUCCGUGCCAGCAGCCGCGGUAAAGU